Molecule: ribosomal RNA, 381 nt
Filed under: uncultured eukaryote
Lineage: Eukaryota
Description: partial 18S ribosomal RNA
Rfam family: Eukaryotic small subunit ribosomal RNA
Source: RNAcentral
CAAUAGCGUAUAUUAAAGUUGUUGCGGUAAAAAAGCUCGUAGUUGGAUUUCUACCGAAGAUAGCCGGUCGGGUCUUCGACCUUGUAUCUGGUUUUGUCUUUGGUAUCCUCAUAGGGAACGUUUCUGCACUUUAUUGCGUGGUGCGGUAUCUAUGACUUUUACUUUGGGGAAAUUAGAGUGUUCACGGCAGGCAAACGCCUUGAAUAUAUUAGCAUGGAAUAAUAACAUAGGAUCUUCGUCCUAUUUUGUUGGUUUCUAGGGCUAAGAUAAUGAUUAAUAGGGAUAAUUGGGGGCAUCUGUAUCAACGCGUCAGAGGUGGAAUUCUUGGAUUGCGUUGCGACAAACUACUGCGAAAGCAUUUGCCAAGGAUGUUUUCAUUGA